CACAUACACACAAACACACACAUACACACACAAACAUACACACAAAACACACAUACACACAGAUACACAUACAGACACACACAUGCAAACACACAUACACACAUACAUGCACAUACACACACACAUACACAUGGUCACACUGGCACCCAGGCACCCAGGGAGAGGAGAGAGGCAGUGCCUUGUCACACAUACACAUACACGCUCACACUGGCACCCAGGCACCCAGGGAGAGGAGCAAGGCAGUGCAUGCACACACACACACACACACACACACACACUCACACUGGCACCCAGGCACCCAGGACCAGGCAUGCAUGCACAGGCAUACACACACAUACUCACGCCUGAUCACUCAGGCUCCCAGGUCAAGUACAUGUGAGCACACACAUGCUCAUGCGGAGCCUAACACAAACACACACAGAGCCUUACACACACAGGCACACACUCACACAGUCUUGUACAAUGUAGCUCCCCA
Molecule: long non-coding RNA, 475 nt
Filed under: Homo sapiens (human)
Lineage: Eukaryota; Metazoa; Chordata; Mammalia; Primates; Hominidae
Description: HSALNT0145080
Source: RNAcentral